UUAUCUAAAGUUAGGUUUACAGUACAGACCAAGAGCCAAUUCACUGGAGACCUUCAGGAGGAUCACAAGCACCAUCUUUAUCGAUUUCUUUGCUAGAUGUAAAUAAUUCUCCAUCUGUACAUUGAAGACCACAUUAGCUUGGAUAUAUAUAUGGGUUCAUUAAGCUGGUUCUCGACUGACUACUACACUCAUAUUAAUAUGUAUUUACAUGCAGAGUAUAUAUGAGUUCAUGAUGUCGUCCAUUAUCACUGAAAUAGUAUCUAUAUUUGUUAAGGGGCCAGUAGAAGGACGCCUCCGAGUGCGGGAGUUUUUCGCUGCAUUGAAGAACUAUUGGUGACCUUCUGCUGUUGUCUGUUCUAUGGAGUUACCGCAUAUACCGUUCCGGAGCUAAAUACCAUUGUUCGAUCAGUUGGUUGUAAAAGUUAUUGAAACAACAAUACACAAAGAUAAAACAAAACAGCGCAUGCGGCAACAAGGCCAGAUCUUCAAAUACGUACUGUGAUGUAUUAUGUCGACAGAAUAUUUUUGGAAUUAUUGUCUUCAAUAUAGGGACACUUUUAUUAAACAAAUAUAUUUAUGAUUGAACUAAACCAAACCUUGCUAACAACCUCUGUAUGUUCAAAGAUUGCUACAAGUGCUGCUAAUGAUUUCAAUGUUCGAUG
Molecule: long non-coding RNA, 662 nt
Organism: Mytilus trossulus (common blue mussel)
Lineage: Eukaryota; Metazoa; Mollusca; Bivalvia; Mytilida; Mytilidae
Exons: 3
Source: RefSeq, a predicted model, not a curated record